UAGUAAUACUCCUUUGUGAGUGUUUUUAAAUAGGCAUAGAGAAAAAUCUUUAGCGAGUCAAUUUCUCUAUGCUUUUUAUUAUAUCA
RNAcentral lists this antisense RNA (86 nucleotides) under Lactococcus lactis. Its description in RNAcentral is "ctRNA". It matches the Rfam family "ctRNA". Rfam says of the family: Rolling circle replication plasmids contain a number of mechanisms to maintain a low copy number. One of these methods is to transcribe a small RNA called ctRNA (for counter-transcribed RNA) than is transcribed on the opposite strand to RepB the replication initiation protein. ctRNA binds to the mRNA of repB and causes translational inhibition. The record is from Rfam by way of RNAcentral. Lineage: Bacteria; Bacillati; Bacillota; Bacilli; Lactobacillales; Streptococcaceae.